RNAcentral lists this ribosomal RNA (2918 nucleotides) under Pseudomonas syringae CC1557. RNAcentral describes it as "bacterial LSU rRNA". It matches the Rfam family "Bacterial large subunit ribosomal RNA". Lineage: Bacteria; Pseudomonadati; Pseudomonadota; Gammaproteobacteria; Pseudomonadales; Pseudomonadaceae. The record is from RNAcentral.
GUUAUAUGGUCAAGUGAAGAAGCGCAUACGGUGGAUGCCUUGGCAGUCAGAGGCGAUGAAAGACGUGGUAGCCUGCGAAAAGCUUCGGGGAGUCGGCAAACAGACUGUGAUCCGGAGAUGUCUGAAUGGGGGAACCCAGCCAUCAUAAGAUGGUUAUCUUACACUGAAUACAUAGGUGUAAGAGGCGAACCAGGGGAACUGAAACAUCUAAGUACCCUGAGGAAAAGAAAUCAACCGAGAUUCCCUUAGUAGUGGCGAGCGAACGGGGACCAGCCCUUAAGUUGUAUUGAGAUUAGCGGAACGUUCUGGAAAGGACGGCCAUAGUGGGUGAUAGCCCUGUACGCGAAAAUCCCUUUGCAAUGAAAUCGAGUAGGACGGGGCACGAGAAACCUUGUCUGAAUAUGGGGGGACCAUCCUCCAAGGCUAAAUACUACUGACUGACCGAUAGUGAACCAGUACCGUGAGGGAAAGGCGAAAAGAACCGCGGAGAGCGGAGUGAAAUAGAUCCUGAAACCGUAUGCGUACAAGCAGUGGGAGCCCACUUUGUUGGGUGACUGCGUACCUUUUGUAUAAUGGGUCAGCGACUUAUUUUCAGUGGCGAGCUUAACCGAAUAGGGGAGGCGUAGCGAAAGCGAGUCUUAAUAGGGCGUCUAGUCGCUGGGAAUAGACCCGAAACCGGGCGAUCUAUCCAUGGGCAGGUUGAAGGUUGGGUAACACUAACUGGAGGACCGAACCGACUACCGUUGAAAAGUUAGCGGAUGACCUGUGGAUCGGAGUGAAAGGCUAAUCAAGCUCGGAGAUAGCUGGUUCUCCUCGAAAGCUAUUUAGGUAGCGCCUCAUGUAUCACUGUAGGGGGUAGAGCACUGUUUCGGCUAGGGGGUCAUCCCGACUUACCAAACCGAUGCAAACUCCGAAUACCUACAAGUGCCGAGCAUGGGAGACACACGGCGGGUGCUAACGUCCGUCGUGAAAAGGGAAACAACCCAGACCGUCAGCUAAGGUCCCAAAGUCAUGGUUAAGUGGGAAACGAUGUGGGAAGGCUUAGACAGCUAGGAGGUUGGCUUAGAAGCAGCCACCCUUUAAAGAAAGCGUAAUAGCUCACUAGUCGAGUCGGCCUGCGCGGAAGAUGUAACGGGGCUCAAACCAUGCACCGAAGCUACGGGUAUCAUCUUUUGAUGAUGCGGUAGAGGAGCGUUCUGUAAGCCUGUGAAGGUGAGUUGAGAAGCUUGCUGGAGGUAUCAGAAGUGCGAAUGCUGACAUGAGUAACGACAAUGGGUGUGAAAAACACCCACGCCGAAAGACCAAGGUUUCCUGCGCAACGUUAAUCGACGCAGGGUUAGUCGGUCCCUAAGGCGAGGCUGAAAAGCGUAGUCGAUGGAAAACAGGUUAAUAUUCCUGUACUUCUGGUUAUUGCGAUGGAGGGACGGAGAAGGCUAGGCCAGCCUGGCGUUGGUAGUCCAGGUUUAAGGUGGUAGGCUGAGAUCUUAGGUAAAUCCGGGAUCUUAAGGCCGAGAGCUGAUGACGAGUGUUCUUUUAGAACAUGAAGUGGUUGAUGCCAUGCUUCCAAGAAAAGCUUCUAAGCUUCAGGUAACCAGGAACCGUACCCCAAACCGACACAGGUGGUUGGGUAGAGAAUACCAAGGCGCUUGAGAGAACUCGGGUGAAGGAACUAGGCAAAAUGGCACCGUAACUUCGGGAGAAGGUGCGCCGGUGAGGGUGAAGCAUUUACUGCGUAAGCCCACGCCGGUCGAAGAUACCAGGCCGCUGCGACUGUUUAUUAAAAACACAGCACUCUGCAAACACGAAAGUGGACGUAUAGGGUGUGACGCCUGCCCGGUGCCGGAAGGUUAAUUGAUGGGGUUAGCGCAAGCGAAGCUCUUGAUCGAAGCCCCGGUAAACGGCGGCCGUAACUAUAACGGUCCUAAGGUAGCGAAAUUCCUUGUCGGGUAAGUUCCGACCUGCACGAAUGGCGUAACGAUGGCGGCGCUGUCUCCACCCGAGACUCAGUGAAAUUGAAAUCGCUGUGAAGAUGCAGUGUAUCCGCGGCUAGACGGAAAGACCCCGUGAACCUUUACUAUAGCUUUGCACUGGACUUUGAAUUUGCUUGUGUAGGAUAGGUGGGAGGCUUUGAAGCGUGGACGCCAGUCUGCGUGGAGCCAACCUUGAAAUACCACCCUGGCAACUUUGAGGUUCUAACUCAGGUCCGUUAUCCGGAUCGAGGACAGUGUAUGGUGGGUAGUUUGACUGGGGCGGUCUCCUCCUAAAGAGUAACGGAGGAGUACGAAGGUGCGCUCAGACCGGUCGGAAAUCGGUCGUAGAGUAUAAAGGCAAAAGCGCGCUUGACUGCGAGACAGACACGUCGAGCAGGUACGAAAGUAGGUCUUAGUGAUCCGGUGGUUCUGUAUGGAAGGGCCAUCGCUCAACGGAUAAAAGGUACUCCGGGGAUAACAGGCUGAUACCGCCCAAGAGUUCAUAUCGACGGCGGUGUUUGGCACCUCGAUGUCGGCUCAUCACAUCCUGGGGCUGAAGCCGGUCCCAAGGGUAUGGCUGUUCGCCAUUUAAAGUGGUACGCGAGCUGGGUUUAGAACGUCGUGAGACAGUUCGGUCCCUAUCUGCCGUGGACGUUUGAGAUUUGAGAGGGGCUGCUCCUAGUACGAGAGGACCGGAGUGGACGAACCUCUGGUGUUCCGGUUGUCACGCCAGUGGCAUUGCCGGGUAGCUAUGUUCGGAAAAGAUAACCGCUGAAAGCAUCUAAGCGGGAAACUUGCCUCAAGAUGAGAUCUCACUGGAACCUUGAGUUCCCUGAAGGGCCGUCGAAGACUACGACGUUGAUAGGUUGGGUGUGUAAGCGCUGUGAGGCGUUGAGCUAACCAAUACUAAUUGCCCGUGAGGCUUGACCAUAUAACACCCAAGCAAUU